CUCGUAGGCGGUUCAACAAGUCGGUCGUGAAAGCCCGGGGCUCAACCCCGGGACGCCGGUCGAAACUGUUGUGACUUGAGUUCGGUAGAGGUGAGUGGAAUUCUCGGUGUAGCGGUGGAAUGCGCAGAUAUCGAGAGGAACACCCGUAGCGAAGGCGGCUCACUGGGCCGAUACUGACGCCGAGGAGCGAAAGCGUGGGGAGCAAACA
Molecule: ribosomal RNA, 208 nt
Filed under: uncultured bacterium
Lineage: Bacteria
Description: partial 16S ribosomal RNA
Rfam family: Bacterial small subunit ribosomal RNA
Source: RNAcentral